RNAcentral lists this long non-coding RNA (203 nucleotides) under Elaeis guineensis (African oil palm). RNAcentral describes it as "long non-coding RNA (EGUI_LNC046645)". The record is from RNAcentral. Lineage: Eukaryota; Viridiplantae; Streptophyta; Magnoliopsida; Arecales; Arecaceae.
CUGGCAUUCUCUUUUCCUCCUUUCUAGUCUCCUUGCCUUUCCUUUUUCUCUUCCUAAGCUUUUGUCCUAAAGCAGACCCUUUGUCUUAAUCUAGACUUGGUCUUAACAAGGAAAGAAAGAGAAAAAUUCAGACACCUAGGAGAUUAUGUAAGAAAGGAAGGAUAAGAGCUUUCGGAUGAAUGGAAUACUCCGAUGCGCAUCCC